AGGACGAACGCUGGCGGCGUGCUUAACACAUGCAAGUCGAGCGGUAAGGCCCUUCGGGGUACACGAGCGGCGAACGGGUGAGUAACACGUGGGCGACCUGCCCCCUACUCUGGGAUAAGCCUGGGAAACUGGGUCUAAUACCGGAUAUGACAUGGUCCUGCAUGGGGUUGUGUGGAAAGUUCUUCGGUGGGGGAUGGGCCCGCGGCCUAUCAGCUUGUUGGUGGGGUGAUGGCCUACCAAGGCGACGACGGGUA
RNAcentral lists this ribosomal RNA (254 nucleotides) under uncultured soil bacterium. RNAcentral's name for it is "partial 16S ribosomal RNA". It matches the Rfam family "Bacterial small subunit ribosomal RNA", at positions 26 to 285 of the family's 1533-position model. The record is from RNAcentral.